This 165-nucleotide ribosomal RNA is filed under the name uncultured bacterium. RNAcentral describes it as "partial 16S rRNA". It matches the Rfam family "Bacterial small subunit ribosomal RNA", at positions 355 to 511 of the family's 1533-position model. The record is from RNAcentral.
UAGGGAAUCUUCGGCAAUGGGGGCAACCCUGACCGAGCAACGCCGCGUGAGUGAAGUAGGUUUUCGGAUCGUAAAACUCUGUUGGUAGAGAAGAACGUUGGUGAGAGUGGAAAGCUCAUCAAGUGACGGUAACUACCCAGAAAGGGACGGCUAACUACGUGCCAG